RNAcentral lists this long non-coding RNA (1102 nucleotides) under Nicotiana benthamiana. Its description in RNAcentral is "long non-coding RNA (NBEN_LNC032516)". The record is from RNAcentral. Lineage: Eukaryota; Viridiplantae; Streptophyta; Magnoliopsida; Solanales; Solanaceae.
UCGGUUCUUCCAGAGAGUUCCUUCACCUACUCUCUUUCUCUCACUGUGUUCUUCAUCAUUUUUGCCUUCAAAUCUAUACGUUUUCAUGGUAUCAGAGCGGGAUGAUCCUCGUAUUCUUCUCCGUCACUUGUUAUCGAUUGCGCUGGAAGUUUAUUGAAGGUUUUUCUCGGAUAUUUGUGAGAGGUUUUGUUUACAGAGAGAACGAUGUGUACUGAACGAAUAAUUGGAGUUUUUACUGUUGUUUGAUGCUCCGACAUCCCUGACAUUUUUUUGGUGACUUUCUAGAUUCUAGGGUUUCUAAUGGUUGAACCUAGGGUUUUACUACUAUCCGGUGACUCGAUCCUCACUCGGUGGAUGUUUUGGGUAAUUUUCCGACAUCCCUGACAUUUUUUUGGUGACUUUCUAGAUUCUAGGGUUUCUAAUGGUUGAACCUAGGGUUUUACUACUAUCCGGUGACUCGAUCCUCACUCGGUGGAUGUUUUGGGUAAUUUUCCGACAUCCCUGACAUUUUUUUGGUGACUUUCUAGAUUCUAGGGUUUCUAAUGGUUGAACCUAGGGUUUUACUACUAUCCGGUGACUCGAUCCUCACUCAGUGGAUGUUCUGGGUGAUUUUCCGACAUCCCUGAUCCUAUUUCGGUAAGUUUCCAGUAAGGUUUCCGGCGGUUGGACCUAGGGUUUUAACCUAGGGUUUUAUCUGGCGAUUGAAGGCCGUGCUUCUCCGGUCACGAAGAAGGAGGGUAACUCUAUCCCUGUUCUAAGUGUUGUAUGUUUUGCAUGUGGGUUCUAAGACUGUUUUUUUUAUUUCAAACUGAUUAUUGUUCAUGGCUUCUAAUAUGAAUGCUAGUACAUCCUCAGUGGACUCCACCAGUCCCCUUUUUGUCUACUCCUCUGAUGUUCCUGGAGGCUCUCUUGUGUCCACUCCCUUCUCGGGGAUGGCUAUGGGGGUUGAAGGAGGAAGAUGAUUGUCGCGUUAUCUGCUAAAAACAAAAUCGAUUUUGUUGAUCGCACCUGUCCCCAGCCAGUCACUAUUGUGACUUAACAAAGACUAUGGGACAGAUGCAAUAAUAUGGUGAUUUCCUGGUUAACUGCCUCCCUCUCCCCU